This is a long non-coding RNA of Rhincodon typus (whale shark), 437 nucleotides long. RefSeq lists it as uncharacterized. The record is from RefSeq and is a predicted model, not a curated record. Lineage: Eukaryota; Metazoa; Chordata; Chondrichthyes; Orectolobiformes; Rhincodontidae. The transcript is spliced from 3 exons.
UCUCCUGGACUGAAGAAACAUCGCAUACCUGGUUGCUACAGCUUUGUAGAUGCCAGUUUGCAGAGAUUUCCAUGCUUGGUCAACAUUGUCUGGAUGAAGGUUGCACCUUUGUCCUGCUAUUUCCAGUGAGGAAGAGUCGACCCCCACCUCUUCAUAAUCCUUCUCGAGUGAGGCCAUGUCUUCCCGUGCAUCCUGGAACUCCCCUUCCUCCAGACCCUCCCCCACAUACCAGUGGACAAAGGCUCGCUUGGCAUACAUCUUGUCGAAUUUGAGGUUCAUGCGAGUCCAAGCCAAGGAAAUGGCAGUGGUGUUGCUCAGCAUACAGAGGGCCCGCUGCACCUUCGCUAGGUCACCCCCCGGUACCACAGUUGGGGGCUGAUAGUUAAUGCCAACCUAUAGUGUAAAAGGGAAUAAAAAAUAUGCCAGAUUCAACUGCA